AAGGAGGACGCCGCCGAAGGUGGGGUUGACGAUUGGGGUGAAGUCGUAACAAGGUAGCCGUAUCGGAAGGUGCGGCUGGAUCACCUCCUUUCUAUGGAG
This 99-nucleotide ribosomal RNA is filed under the name Merdimmobilis hominis. RNAcentral describes it as "partial 16S ribosomal RNA". It matches the Rfam family "Bacterial small subunit ribosomal RNA", at positions 1443 to 1533 of the family's 1533-position model. Lineage: Bacteria; Bacillati; Bacillota; Clostridia; Eubacteriales; Oscillospiraceae. The record is from RNAcentral.